UGUGUAGGCGGCCGUUUAAGUUUGGUGUGAAAUCUCCCGGCUCAACUGGGAGGGUGCGCCGAAUACUGAAUGGCUCGAGUGCGGGAGAGGAGAGUGGAAUUCCUGGUGUAGCGGUGAAAUGCGUAGAUAUCAGGAGGAACACCGGCGGUGUAGACGGCUCUCUGGACCGUAACUGACGCUGAGACACGAAAGCGUGGGUAGCAAACAGGAUUAGAUACCCUGGUAGUCCACGCCCUAAACGAUGCACAUUUGGUGUGGGUCAUUCAGUUGAUCCGUGCCGGAGCUAACGCGUUAAAUGUGCCGCCUGGGGAGUACAGUCGCAAGGCUGAA
Molecule: ribosomal RNA, 330 nt
Filed under: uncultured bacterium
Lineage: Bacteria
Description: bacterial SSU rRNA
Rfam family: Bacterial small subunit ribosomal RNA
Source: RNAcentral